RNAcentral lists this ribosomal RNA (394 nucleotides) under uncultured bacterium. Its description in RNAcentral is "bacterial SSU rRNA". It matches the Rfam family "Bacterial small subunit ribosomal RNA", at positions 30 to 437 of the family's 1533-position model. The record is from RNAcentral.
AUUGAACGCUGGCGGCAGGCUUAACACAUGCAAGUCGAACGGAACCUUCGGGUUUAGUGGCGAACGGGUGAGUAAUACCUAGGAAUCUGCCUAUUAGUGGGGGAUAACGAAUCGAAAGGUUCGCUAAUACCGCAUACGUCCUACGGGAGAAAGGGGGGAGUCUUCGGACCUCUCGCUAAUAGAUGAGCCUAGGCCGGAUUAGCUAGUUGGUAGGGUAAAGGCCUACCAAGGCGACGAUCUGUAGCUGGUCUGAGAGGAUGGCCAGCCACACUGGAACUGAGACACGGUCCAGACUCCUACGGGAGGCAGCAGUGGGGAAUAUUGGACAAUGGGGGCGAACCCUGAUCCAGCCAUGCCGCGUGUGUGAGAAGGCCUUCGGUUGUAAGACACUUAA